Molecule: ribosomal RNA, 301 nt
Filed under: uncultured bacterium
Lineage: Bacteria
Description: partial 16S ribosomal RNA
Rfam family: Bacterial small subunit ribosomal RNA
Source: RNAcentral
CAGCAGCCGCGGUAAUACGAAGGGUGCAAGCGUUAAUCGGAGUUACUGGGCGUAAAGCGUGCGUAGGCGGUUUGUUAAGUCUGUUGUGAAAUCCCCGGGCUCAACCUGGGAAUGGCAAUGAAUACUGGCAAGCUAGAGUGUGUCAGAGGAUGGUGGAAUUCCCGGUGUAGCGGUGAAAUGCGUAGAGAUCGGGAGGAACAUCAGUGGCGAAGGCGGCCAUCUGGGACAACACUGACGCUGAGGCACGAAAGCGUGGGGAGCAAACAGGAUUAGAUACCCGGGUAGUCCCUGUCUCUUAUCC